UGCACAACACUCUUUUUGCAGAACUUUAAACACAACUCACUGCUUACACUCAAUUACCAACACACUCCUAGCAAAAUUAUACACAUGCAUGGCUAUCAUUAACACUAUUUUGCCCACUGUCUGGCACACUUUCAAAUGUGAAAACUGUUUUAGAUAAUAAGUUCACUUUGCAAUCAGCCUAAGCACUAUAAAUAAGUCACAGGUAAGCUGUCUGUGUGGAGUUCAAUGGAUGGAGCAGUAAGAGUGAGAAGAGUGAGAAUCAGAGGAGGCCGAGAGAGAGGACGUGGAGGUGAAGAAGCGAGAGGGUUAGAGGAAGUUAGAGGAAGAGGACAAGGAGGUGCAAGAAGAGGACGAGGAGGGGAAAGAGGGAGGGUAAGAAGAGUAAGAUAUAGAAUGACUGAUGACAUCAGAGCUACAAUAGUGGACCAUGUCAUCAACCAUGUGAUGACCCUGAGGGAAGCUGGCCAACGGGUUCAGCCUAAUUUGAGCCGCUACACUGUGGCAAGCAUCAUUAGGACAUUUCGAAAUGAGAAUCGUUAAGUACUUUGUAGCACUGCCAUACUCUAAUGAGAAACACAACAGUACCAUACAUGCAAUAAUACUGAAAUUGUUAUUUUACAGAAUUGCUAGAUGUCCAGAUGUUGGGGGCAGAGGAAGAAUGUUCACUCCAGAGCAAGAGACCCAUAUAGUGAACAUGAAUCAGAAUGAAGCAAAUUUACAGAGUUCCUUUCGAGAGAAACACAGAACGUGUAAAGCAACUGUGAUAUGACUAUGUGCAGAGAGUGAUGGAACUAGAAGCAGAUGCCAUGGGACAUGAGCUACUUUUUGUAGAUGAGGCCGGUUUUAACCUCAGUAAAACCAGG
Carassius auratus (goldfish) is the source of this 863-nucleotide long non-coding RNA. RefSeq lists it as uncharacterized. The record is from RefSeq and is a predicted model, not a curated record. Lineage: Eukaryota; Metazoa; Chordata; Actinopteri; Cypriniformes; Cyprinidae. The transcript is spliced from 3 exons.